RNAcentral lists this ribosomal RNA (253 nucleotides) under uncultured bacterium. RNAcentral's name for it is "partial 16S ribosomal RNA". It matches the Rfam family "Bacterial small subunit ribosomal RNA", at positions 524 to 776 of the family's 1533-position model. The record is from RNAcentral.
UACGAAGGGGGCUAGCGUUGCUCGGAAUCACUGGGCGUAAAGGGUGCGUAGGCGGGUCUUUAAGUCAGGGGUGAAAUCCUGGAGCUCAACUCCAGAACUGCCUUUGAUACUGAAGAUCUUGAGUUCGGGAGAGGUGAGUGGAACUGCGAGUGUAGAGGUGAAAUUCGUAGAUAUUCGCAAGAACACCAGUGGCGAAGGUGGCUCACUGGCCCGGUACUGACGCUGAGGCGCGAAAGCGUGGGGAGCAAACAGG